ACCAUGGUUGACUGCAUAAUGCUAUGGAAGCCACUUCAUAUUAAUUAGUUUAGGUAAAAGACUUGUAAAAGAGAUAAAGAGACAGUGUGGUGUAAAUAUACAGGCUUUGGAGUCAAAGAGCCAGGGUUCAAGUUCUGACUUUCUAACUGUAUGACCUUGAGCAAGUAAAUUACUUAAUCUCUCUAGGCCUCAGUCUCCUUAUCUGUACAAUGGAGCUAGGAAUAGUUGCUGGCUCAUAAGUGCUACAUAAGUACUACAUAAGUACUAGCUUUUCUUGUUUUCACAGAAACAGAAAACUGAACCCCAUUUGAACUUGCUUCUCCUUAAGUCCUGUCCAAGACACAAAAGGAACAAAAAUGGCAUUGAGAUCCUGGCUGCUUAUGUCCAAGAUGAAGCUAGGACCUUCAGAAGCAAGCUCAAGAGAUGAUGAAUGAAGGAAGGUGGAGCUCCGAAGACCAUGAAGAACUGCUACAGAAGAAAACAAGCUUUCAAUAAAAUAAAAGAGACAUCAAUCACACAUUUUACCCAUUUAUGAAACAUGCUCAGGACAAGGUACUCAGACGUGAAGAAGCAUUCCCAGGAACCAUCUUGGAGAACUGGACUUGGUAACAUGAGAGCUGGGAAGUCCCAAUUCUUGGUCAUGAAGAGUCUACCACGAAGAGAAUUGGUUUGGAAACCAGAAGGCUAACUUUUACAUGAGGCACCAGGGCUAAUGCCCACAGAUUUCAGAGAGGACAAUAAUGGGUAUUUCUGAUGUUGAAAUCCUAGGAUUGAUCUGACAGCACAAACCAAAUGCCAGCAGUUUCCCUGGAGUUCUGCUGCGUGCUUUUGCCAACCCUGAUGAUCCAGAGGACCUCACAUCUCAAGUGGCUCCUAUGGUGAAGGAACUACGGAGUUUCUCUGAGCACCUAAGAUUACUCUGCUUCAAGGAACUCAUGAGUGUGUGGACAGAAAAUAUCUUUGAGGGAUUCCCAGGAGUGACUCCAAUGAAAGACCAAGAGAACAACAGCUCUUCGGUGUUAAAGCCACAAGACCAAGAGCAGACACAGCAUCCAGAAGAAAACCUCUAUUGGCAAGCACAAGACAGUGAUCACAGAUGUGGCCCCAGACGACGGAAGGACAGGAGUGCAGCACGCUGAAAUGUCGGAAUACUACACGCCUGCAAUUGCCUUUCCCUCUGGCAUUUAAUGAGAAAUAAAAAGCACAUGUGAAGGUU
RNAcentral lists this long non-coding RNA (1216 nucleotides) under Homo sapiens (human). RNAcentral describes it as "HSALNT0320374". The record is from RNAcentral. Lineage: Eukaryota; Metazoa; Chordata; Mammalia; Primates; Hominidae.